GGGUUACGGGGUCACGUGUUGGGUUAUGGGGUCCCAUAUGGGGUCCUGUGUGGGGUUAUGGGGUCACACAUUGGGUUAUGGGGUCACGUGUUGGGUCAGGUGUUCCAUUUGGGGUCAGGUGUUCUAUUUGGGUUCCUAUUGGGGGUCAGAGGUUCCAUCUGGGGUCUAUUUGGGGUCCAUUUGGGGUCAGAGGGUCCAUUUGGGAUCCAUUUCAGGUCAGAGGUUCCAUUCGGGAUCCAUUUGGGGUCAGAGGGUCCAUUUGGGGUCAGAGGUUCCAUUUGGGUUCCAUUUGGGGUCAGAGGAUCCAUUUGGGGUCAGAGGAUCCAUUUGGGGUCAGAGGAUCCAUUUGGGGUCAGAGGUUCCAUUUAGGGUCCAUUUGGGGUCGGAGGGUCCAUUUGGGGUCAGAGGUUCCAUUUGGGGUCCAUUUAGGGUCGAAGGGUCCAUUUGGGGUCAGAGGUUCCAUUUGGGGUCCAUUUAGGGUCGGAGGGUCCAUUUGGGGUCAGAGGUUCCAUUUGGGGUCCAUUUAGGGUCGGAGGGUCCAUUUAGGGUCAGAGGAUCCAUUUGGGGUCAGAGGUUCCAUUUGGGGUCCAUUUAGGGUCGGAGGGUCCAUUUGGGGUCAGAGGUUCCAUUUGGG
Non-coding RNA from Meleagris gallopavo (turkey), 634 nucleotides. Lineage: Eukaryota; Metazoa; Chordata; Aves; Galliformes; Phasianidae. The record is from RefSeq and is a predicted model, not a curated record.